CAUCACUACGCUAGAUGCAUAUCAAUAAGCGGAGGAAAAGAAACUAACAAGGAUUCCCUUAGUAACGGCGAGUGAAGCGGGAAGAGCUCAAAUUUGAAAUCUUCAAGGUUCUACCUUGACGAAUUGUAGUUUAUAGAAGUGUUUUCUGUUAGUGGAGUGGCAAAAGUUCUUUGGAAUAGGACAUCAUAGAGGGUGAGAAUCCCGUAUUUGGUCAUUCCUCCUAGCGUUGUGAUACACUUUCAACGAGUCGGAUUGUUUGGGAAUGCAGUCCAAAAUGGGUGGUAAAUUUCAUCUAAAGCUAAAUAUUGGCGAGAGACCGAUAGCGAACAAGUACCGUGAGGGAAAGAUGAAAGGAACUUUGAAAAGAGAGUUAAACAGUACGUGAAAUUGUCAAAAGGGAAGCGUUUGACACCAGUGUUGUUUAGUUGAAAAUCAAUUCAAUAGUUUUUGAUUCUAAGUAGUAUUGACUUCAUCAGCUUGCUGCUUUCUUCUCAGAAAUUAUUGAAUGCACUUUUCAGUUAACAAGUCAACAUCAAUUUCUUUUGUUGUAAAAGGGUAAGAGGAAGGUGGCUUGCGCUUCGGCUCAAGUGUUUAUAGCCUUUUAUCUCUGCAAUCGGAGAGAUUGAGGUCUGCAGCGUAGAUCCUUCGGGGUUAGAUACAUUGGUGCUAAGCUAUAGCCUUGUAUAGACAACUUGUUGACUAUGCUCAGUCAUGUAGCUUACUCGCUGAUGCUAUUUUACCUACGCUUAGGAUGUUGAUAUGCAUGACUGAUAU
RNAcentral lists this ribosomal RNA (774 nucleotides) under uncultured Neocallimastigales. Its description in RNAcentral is "partial large subunit ribosomal RNA". It matches the Rfam family "Eukaryotic large subunit ribosomal RNA", at positions 20 to 643 of the family's 3401-position model. The record is from RNAcentral. Lineage: Eukaryota; Fungi; Neocallimastigomycota; Neocallimastigomycetes; Neocallimastigales.